This 547-nucleotide ribosomal RNA is filed under the name uncultured bacterium. RNAcentral describes it as "bacterial SSU rRNA". It matches the Rfam family "Bacterial small subunit ribosomal RNA", at positions 355 to 896 of the family's 1533-position model. The record is from RNAcentral.
UAGGGAAUUUUUCACAAUGAGCGAAAGCUUGAUGGAGCAAUGCCGCGUGAACGAUGAAGGUCUUUAAGAUUGUAAAGUUCUUUUAUUUGGGAAGAAUGACUUUAGCAGGUAAUGGCUAGAGUUUGACUGUACCAUUUUGAAUAAGUGACGACUAACUAUGUGCCAGCAGUCGCGGUAAUACAUAGGUCGCAAGCGUUAUCCGGAUUUAUUGGGCGUAAAGCAAGCGCAGGCGGAUUGAAAAGUCUGGUGUUAAAGGCAGCUGCUUAACAGUUGUAUGCAUUGGAAACUAUUAAUCUAGAGUGUGGUAGGGAGUUUUGGAAUUUCAUGUGGAGCGGUGAAAUGCGUAGAUAUAUGAAGGAAUACCAGUGGCGAAGGCGAAAACUUAGGCCAUUACUGACGCUUAGGCUUGAAAGUGUGGGGAGCAAAUAGGAUUAGAUACCCUAGUAGUCCACACCGUAAACGAUAGAUACUAGCUGUCGGGGCGAUCCCCUCGGUAGUGAAGUUAACACAUUAAGUAUCUCGCCUGGGUAGUACAUUCGCAAGAAUG